This 22-nucleotide microRNA is filed under the name Cordylochernes scorpioides. The record is from RNAcentral. Lineage: Eukaryota; Metazoa; Arthropoda; Arachnida; Pseudoscorpiones; Chernetidae.
AACUAGUGUAUGACGUUUCAGU